GACAGAGGUGCCAGGCGUUAGGCGGAAUCACUGGGCUUAAAGCGUGUGUAGGCGGAUUUGUAAGUACCUUGUGAAAUCCCAUGGCUCAACCAUGGAACUGCUCGGUAUACUGCGAAUCUUGAGCCACUUAGGGGCUACCGGAACAAAUGGUGGAGCGGUGAAAUGCGUAGAUAUCAUUUGGAACGCCAAUGGUGAAAACAGGUAGCUGGGAGUGUGCUGACGCUGAGACACGAAAGCCAGGGGAGCGAACGGG
RNAcentral lists this ribosomal RNA (253 nucleotides) under uncultured bacterium. Its description in RNAcentral is "partial 16S ribosomal RNA". It matches the Rfam family "Bacterial small subunit ribosomal RNA", at positions 524 to 776 of the family's 1533-position model. The record is from RNAcentral.